AUAAUAAUAAUAAUAAUAAUAAAAUAAAGGGAGGAGGGUGGUCUACGGGUAUGAACCCGAAUCCAAACCCGAAGCCGGGGUGCUAGACACCUUUGCAAGGACAGCCCAGGGAGAAUGUUAAAAAUUUAAGUUUUAUAUAUAUUGUGAUGAAUUUUAAAAGAAAAAUAUGAUUUUUGGAUAUUAGGUUCUGCGAGGAAUUUGUGAGAUUAAUUGGAAUUAUUGUGAAUCGCUUUCGAAGUAAGUAAUGAACUGCCUUCUCUAGACUCUUCAUUCAUAUAAUAUUAUUUUUGCAUUGAAUAAAUUGUUAAUGAAUUUAUAUGUGAUUUAUGAAUUUUACGAGAUGAUGCUUUGAAUGAAAAAUAGAUAGGUGAAUUGAAAUUAAUAUUUUUCGGAUAUACUUACUGUUCUUGCAUCGUAUAUGCAUAUUUAGAUCGGAUUGUGAUAUAUCUAUUAUGCUACAAAAGAAUUUUGAUGUGCAUCAGAUUUAGAACUCUCAACUAGACUAUGUUCUGGACCCUGCCAAUUGGGGGUUAUGCAUUGGCAAUUCUGACCGCACCACGGGGUAUAAGUGUGGUAUUCUGGCCCACUCCGCAGGGUAUAAGUGCGGUAUUCUGGCCUACUCUGCAGGGUAUAAAUGUGGUUCUGUUUUUGGCCUAGCCACAGGGUAUAAGUGUGGUCGUAGCUAAAGGCUGUUGAGAUGAAUGUAAUUUGUUUCGAAUCAGAUUUACGAUUAUGUAUAUGGAUAUUUGAAAGAUACGGAUUUCAAUGAAUUUGUAUUUGAAAAUGAAUUGAUUAUGUUAUUAUGCUAACUCAUCGUAAUUUGUAUUCAUAUUUUAUGUUAUUAUAUGAAUUGACUAGUUAAGGUGUUUAUUACUUACUGGGCUGUCUAGCUCAUUAUACGAUUUCUUACUGUUUUUACAGAUCCGAAGAAUUAGCUUGAUCUGGGGUUUUACAAUAUGGGAGAGCGAAUAAAAGAAUUAUGGCACAAGUUAUCUUAGAUUAGGUUUUAUUUAAAUUAAUGUUCUAUCUUUAUUGUUCCGCUGCGUAUUUAGAACUGUGAGACUUUAUAAUUUGUGUCAGUCAAUGGAAUAAGAUUGCAUUUAUUUUAGUUGAAUUAUUUUAGUUACAUUUUUGAGAUUUGGUUAAGAUGCCUUGCAUGCUCGUGGGGAGAAUUUUCCUACGGGUGUGCGGCGGUUGGCGCGGACCCCUGGCUCGCGAUCUCGGGCCGGGGGCGUGACAGAUACCAUGCUAUUGACUUAAUUAUUCAACAAUCCAAACCAAGGUUCGCUAUCUCGGUACUAGAUACUGUACUGGUAUCAUGUUGGUACAGUGUCAGUACACCCAAUACGGGGUUUGGUUCAGCGUACCAAGUCUCAGUUCAGAAUGGUACCGUACAUAUGCCUGGUAUGCGGUGGUACACACCAGUACGGCAAACCUUAGUCCAAAUUUGUAGAAAGAAGUUAACUGAUAUUUAAGAAACUCUAAGAGUCAAUCAAGGCAGCCAUGGCUCACCAUUUGUUUCUUGGAUUUUUCUUUUGUGUUUUAAUUGAUGGCAGCAAAUUAUUUUAAUCAAGGGUGAAAUUUUCAUGUUGUUAGGAUUUAUUUUCUGUAUAAAAGUUGCAAUUCCUGUUUUAAAAAGUGGUUAGUUUUGAGUUAAUUUUGAUUGAUCAGAAGAAGAGAAGCUAAGGUUCUGGUACCUCCUCUAAUCUCCUCCUUGUCUCUCUUCCUGCAUCCUCUUCUUUCCUCUAAUUAUUGUCUCCUUAUGAUUUUAAUUUUCUUAAUAACAUUCUUUAUUCUCUGCUGUAUAUUACUUCAGUUCAUAACUAAGCUUAAAUCCAUUUAACCUUGUCUUCACCCUGUAUAUUACUAACCUUAUGAUUUUAAUGUUCUCAACCUGUUUUGUGCAAGUUUUAGUGUCACAAGCCUUAACAUCUGUCAUUAAUCCUAGUAAACCCAUUUAACCUUGUCUUCACCCUUUACUUUCACUAGAAUCUUGAAAAAUCUGUCCAUAAUAGCAGAAACCUGUGUAUAUACCACAGAUUUCAAACAAUAAUUCCAUUAGAAAAACCUUUAUAAAUAUUUUCAAUACUUAUUGAACCCCAGAAGGCCAGAACCUUUUCCUAUCAUCAGUUAGUAAUGAACACCUGUUACCUCAUCCAUUUUUCCAUAGUCAUGUGAUUUCUUCUGAACAGUCCAGAAUUUUAAUUCUGUGCAGCAAAUCCUAAAAUCCUUCUUUAAAACCUUGAAUCCUUCAUCUUAAGUUUCACCGCCACAGAUAUGCAUCUUAACCCUUAAAGUCCCACAACUUCCCUUUAACAUAGCUUUUUUGCAAGGUAUGCUGAACUCACCGGAACCGGUCGGUUUAGCAUGUACCGGACCGGUGCCAACAGGCACCAGUCUGGUAUAGCCAUUAAAAUCGGUUCCAACCCCAUCUGGGUCGCAAUUGAUCGGUUCCAAGUCCGUACCGGUGCGAACCGAGCCCCGGCUCGGUUCGCACCGGUACGGGUUAAAAAUUGAGUUGCCACGUGCUAUGCCCUUUUUGACCAUAGCGCGCGGCCUUUUUUCUCCGCGGCCGACAGCGCGUAGCCACAGUGGCCACACGCUGUCUUCCUUUCGGCCACAACGCCAAGUGCUGUGGCUGAAAGUGGUACAGGGCCACGUGUUUUUCGACAAUGCAUAGCUGUCCAUUCAAUUUGAGGUUGGCCUCUCCCCGCUCGGCUAUAGGAGCACAUUUCAGAGGCAAGGCAAGGGAAGGGAAGGAAAGGGAUUAGCCAAAAAAUUGAGAAAGAAAAGAAAAGGGUAGGGAUUAGUCUAAAAAAUAUUGAGGAAGGGAAGGGUAGGGAUUAGCCCAAAAAAGAUGAAGGAAGGAAAGGGAAAGGAAGGUAUCCAGCAGAUGAAGGGAAUGCAGAUCGAGCAGGGAUCCUACAGAGGCUGCGUGAAAAAAAUUGAGGAGGCGAGAGAGCGUCAUUUCCCUUCCAAAAAAAUCCAACAAAGGCUAAUUAAGGUGUGGUUUCUUUCCCUUAUAUUUUUUUUAAUAUUUCUUUUAAUGUGCUUACAAAAAUAUGUCAAAAAUUGCAAAAAAAAUAGAAAAUGAUGCUCAAUGUUUUCAUUUCAUAUUGAAUUUUUUAUAUGUUGUAAAUCUAAGGUCUGCUGAACCGAUCUAUACCGGUUGGUUCAGCCCGUACCGGACUGGUACCGACAGGCACUGGUCCGGUACCAAGGUAGAAAUUGGUUCCGACCCAAUCUGGGUCAGAACCGAUCGGUUUGAGGUCGGUUCAGCCGGGGUCAAAAAAAAUAUCAAAAAGUGAGAGAACUCCCAAAAAAAAACGACAGGGUCGAAACCAGACCGAACCAGCUCCAUCGGUAUGGUACCGGUACCGUACCGGUACCGAAGCCUACCGGUACGUUGGUAUGCUCGGUACCACAUACCUUAGAUCUAUAGACGAUGUGCAUGGUGACAUUAAUUUUUUUCAGAAUAUAUAUAAUUUAUAUUUUAAUUAAAAAUAAAAAGUUUAAAAAUUAAUUUUUUAAUAAAAAAUAAAAAUAAAAAUAUUUAAAAAAAUAGUAGUACGUUGUACAUAAUUUAGAAGUCAUUUUGGAGGCAGAAUUUUUUGGUAAAUUUAAAAUAAUUAAAAAAUUAAAAAUUAAUUUAAAAUUUAAAAAUAAAUUAAUGUCUUCGUAGGAAUGGAGCCAUCAAGGAGAAGGCAACCCCCAGAGCGUGAUAUUGGUUAGGAGCAUGGAAAGAUACUCGAUGAACGAUAUCAGUUUCAGUGCAGUCAUUGCCGCAAGUGCUUCAAAGAAGGAGUAACCAGAUUAAAGCAGCACUUAGCCGGUAAUUUCCGUGAGGUAUUUGCAUGCCCCAAUUGCCCACCAGAGAUAGAACCUCGCUUAGAUCAAAGCAACCAAGGAGAGGACUGCCAAGAAGAAGGCGGAGGAGGAAUGCCAAGCCGCAGAGCCACCUUCCUAUCACUUUAUGAAGUCAAAAAAGGUUGAGGGCCCAAAUGAGGCACAGAUCCAGGCUGCCAUGCGGGCGAGCCUUAAUGAUCAAUGGCAACAAGAGGAGGUGGAGAGGCAUCAGGCUCGAUUUGGGCCCUCGUUUUAUGAGUCGAGUGUCGAUUCUGGUGGAAGCAGAUACGAUCCAGAGUUUCAAAGGACAACCUCAGUCAACAGAGAACGUGGCCGAAUUGCAUCUAUCCUUAGUGGUUUUGAUAGUCGAAAAAAGUCUUUCAGAGAAAUUCCACUAAGAGCGUCAAUCCAUGAUGUAGACCCGCAUGCCUUUUCCAAUAGAGAUUCGAAGAAGUAAAGGAUAGGCAAUAUGGAAGAAGGAGAAGAAGAAGGAUAUGUGGCGAGCUAUUGGAUCCUGGUUCCACUUUAGCCACAUGCCAGCGAAUGUGGCAGACAAUACGUAUUACAAAUCUGUCAUUUUCGCCAUACAGGUUGCCAAUCCCGAUGUUGAUCCUCCAAGCCCAAAGGACAUUUAUGGUGAGCUACUUGACAACAAUAAGGAAGAGCUAGAGAAAUGGAUUGCCUCCUACAAGAGCAAGUGGCCCUCAUAUGGGCUCACUUUGAUGUGUGAUGGUUGGGCCAGUCAGUACGGUGGACCUUGGCUUUUUGCCUAUGACUUCUAUGCAAGAAAAUAUUGUGUAUAACAAUGAUGUCAAAAAACUCUCUCCACACGCUAAUUCUUUUAUGAUUUAAAUCUGUAAGAAUAUUUGUCUAAUUCUUGCUUGUAUGAUCAAUCACCUUAAACUAUGCUAUAGGCAUGUUAAACAAUAACAAAAGUAUCAAAUUUGUUAGGUUUCUAGAUUUUAGUAGCAGAAAACUUCUAUCCACGAUGCACAACCAAUUUAGAAAUUCUCAUGAAAUUGACUCCUACACCUGCUUUGUAAGUACUUCCAUUUAUAAAUUUGUUUUAAGCAAGGUCUGCUGAACCGGUCGGAACCGACCGGUUCAGUCUGUACCGUACCGAUACCGGCCUGUACCGUACCGAUACCGGCCGACACCAGUAUGAUACAACCAUGGAAUUCGAUUUCUUACCUGUACCGGUGUGAACCACACCAGUACUCGUGGGGAAGAAGAGGAAAGAAGAGAAAGAAAAAAGAAGAAAGAAGAGGAAGAAGAAGAGGAAGAAGAGAAAGAAGAAGAGAAAGAGGAGAAGACUACCUGUCAAAGGGGGAAAGAAGACCUCUCUUGCAGGAAAGAAGACUAUCGGGUCCGCACGCAUGUCCGCACGCACGUCCAUGCAUGUGUCCACGCGUUUUUUUUUUCAAACUGGUUCAAUACCGGUCUCCAUCAGUACAUCGGUUCGGUCGGUACCGCGAACCUACUUUUAAGAGAUAUGCUUCCUAGAACGUGCACCGCACUUGUUUCAGGCAACUUCUUGAUUUAUAAAGAUAUGAUUCCCAGAAAUUCCCACUAAGCUUUUUUUUUUGUUCAAGAUAUGCCUACAUAGUAAUAUUACAGCAAAAAAGUUAAAAUUCGUCGAUGUUGGCAUAUAAUAUGUCAUAUGUGGCAGUCCAGUCCUUGUAUAGAUUAUGAUCUUUAUCUAGAUCAAGGACAAAAAUCACAUAUUAUGAUAUUUUACCAAUGCAAAUUGUGCAUAAAUAUGGGUUAUAUAAUCUAUUAAGUCAGACGCCUCAGAACUUUUAUGAACCAUAUUAACACUCUUAUAGGCUACAUGUAGAACUACUUCAACAACACAUCUUAUUAGUUGCUCCAUAUGCACUUCUCACUAACAUCCAUAAAAGAAAGCAUUUUUCUCAAAAUCAAAUAGCAAAUAUGUUCAAGCCACAUUAAAAACAUGUGGUAAAAGAUCCCAUACCGAAUUGACUUUGGUUGCUAGUAGGGAUGACUGAAGAUAUUAUAUUUCCAUAAGUAUGGGCAUAUCCCACCUUAGCUUGAAGCCUCUCGAUGUUACUUCAGCAUGUUAGUUUAUAGUACAAAAUAAAGUUCGCAAUCUCGGUAUACUGGUUCCCAUAUCAGUGCCUUACUGGUUUGGUACGGUCGGUACGAUACGGUAUGCAUUAUAUACCGAAAUAGCUUUCUAACCACUUUUCUCAAUUUUUAUCCCAGUACGCCUCAAUACAGGUCGAUACGCACCUCGGUACACCUCGGUCUAGAUCAGUAUUGAGGAUGAUAGUGUUAUUUUGAUGAUUAACACAACCAUUGAGGAAAUAUCUAAUUAAAUACUACAAGUUAAUAUGAUACAUCAUUACUGAAUUCGACACUCUCGAUACAUUAGAAGAAUGAGAUCAAGAUGUCUUUCAAUGAUUAAUAAUGAGAUAAAAUUUGCGAUAGAAAAGGGAUAGUGAAUUCUAAAUUCUAAUUCAGCAAAGUUUCAAGUAAAACGUAUUCUUAAGGGCACAAUAGUAAUUUUCAUUGUUAAGAGUAUGUAGCACUACCAUGGCAUACAUUCAAAAUUGCUUGAAGUAUAUUUCAUUGAUUGUAUGGAUGAGUCUAACCUUAAGAUGCAGCAAAGUAUGGAAUGAGUCGACCCCAACAAAGAUGGAGUCGACCCUAGCACAUCAUGGAACCAUCAGGUACACCUCUGCGAAAAUGGCACGGAUGAAUAGUAGUGGAGUCGACCCCAAGUAUGGUUGAGUCGACCCCAGCUUCAAGCCUCAAGAAAACAAGUCUCUGGAAUUUACUAAGAGGGUCGACCCCCACCUUCCUUGAGCCGACCCCAGGAAUACUUGAGUCGACCCCAAUGGAGUUGACCCCAAUUGAACAUGAGUCAACCCCAAGGCUAUGUCGUUCAAAACUGUCUCUGGAAUUCCUGAGAGGGUCAACCCCAAUGGAACUUGAGUCGACCCCACUGUAGCUUGAGUCGACCCCAAAAAGAGUUGAAUCGACCCCAGUGAAAAACAGCUGAAAUACUAAGGUUCUGUGAUCCCUGAGAGGGUCGACCUCACUGUAGCAGGAGUCAACCCCAGUGAAAGUUGGGUCGACCUCACUGGAAGUUGAGUCAACCCCAAGUUUGAUGAACAGUGGUUUGAGUCGACCCCAGAAAAGUUUGGGUCGACCCCAGCACGGGCAGAAGCAUAACGGCUAGUUCUGCAGAAGUACUUUUUGACCUUCCAACGGCUAGUUCUGCAGAAGUACUUUUUGACCUCCCAACGGCUAGUAACGGAUAGCUUUUCAAAUCUAACCAAUGGGAAGUAACCUAAACAUGUGGGAAAGUAUUUGACACUAUUCAUCAGAGCAAAAUAUCCUUUUGCAAAAUAUCAAAGCUUACCCAAGAAAGACAAAAGCCCUAAUUUUCUUCAUCGAGGUGCUUCAUUCAAGAGUCAAAAGGAAGUGGUUGAGCAGAUCAAAAAGAGGCAUUAAAAGCUCCACUAACCCUUGAAGAGUAAAGCAUUCCUUGACAAAGAAGAGAAGAGCCAUAUCAAAGCGAUAACUAUAUUCUAACUCUUCUUUGUAGCUUAUAUUUGUUAUAUCUGCUCAUAUAGGAGUUUAAACCUUCUUCUUUCUCUUUUUAACAAUCUUGUAAGGUUUGUUGGUGAGCCCGUAAAACCAACGGUGUAGGUUUGUUGGUGAACCUGUAAAACCAACGGUGAAGGUUAGUUGGUGAUCCCGUAAAACCAAUAUAGGUUUUUGGUGAUCCCGGAAAACCAAGUGUAAAGAUUUUUGGAUUGUGAGCCCGGAAAAUAAUCCAACUGUAAUCCGCGGGAUUAUAGUGAAUUUCCAAGGGGUCGCUUGGGAAGUGGACGUAGGUGCAUAGGAGAGCACCGAACCACUAUACUUCUUGUUGUUUGUAUUGUGUUUUGUUCUAAGUUCACUAUUUGUAGUUAAUCUAUAUUAACCAAAUCACUCACUCAUCAAUUAGCAAAGUUAAGGAAUCGAAAAUCAAGAAAAACCAAUUCACCCCCCCCCCUCUUGGCUUGUCACCUUGGGCAACAAGUAUGCUUCGGUAUGGGGCGGUAUACGAUGGUACGGGGCUUGUACAGAUUCAAAAUGGAGUUUCGUAUCGAUUUUCUUCCGGUAUGGUACGGUAUGCACCGCACGGUAUACUCCAUGUCGGGCGGUAUGGGGUGGUACAACAGACCUUACUAUAAAAGUAUGGUUCACAAGCAAGCAUUACUUUCUUCUUGCACUACUUUCCAGCAGAAUUAAGAAUAUGCUUCAAAGAGAGGCUUGUAAGUUGAUACUUAUGAGGUGAUGACUGUAAAAAUUGAUGACCUUUUCUACUGUAAUCAUAUAAGAAACGUAGUUAGAAUUGGAUAGGAAGUACAUACAUUUUACCUCUCCUCUUAGCAACAACAGUGCUAAAAUUUCAGGAUUCCCUGGUUUUGAUGUUCACCAUGGAAUUUGGCAAGGAAUACAUUUUCUCACAGAUUAUUUUUGGAUAGAAAGGCUGACAAGUCUUAUGGUGAGAAGGGCCUUGUUGUGUUGAUGUGCUAUUUCUAGGAGACAUAGGCAAAGAAACAGGAAUGGUAUUUAUUUACUCCUCUUUGAAGGUUCAGUUUGGUUUUUACCAUGCUAAUUCAUCCUGAUUUCUAUAAGAAGGAAUCAACAUGGUGGAACUUUGGGAGCAUUAAUGGAGAUUGAAAACACUUAACAAACUUUGGGAGUUAUGUACUGAUAUGAGCUCUAUAGAUUAUGCAAGACAACUUUUAGAAAUGAGGCCUUGUUAUGAUGCCAGAUCUGUUCCUUCAUAGAUCCAAAGUACCUCUACCUCCUUUGCUGAUUUCAAGGUCAGACAUUAUUGAAGAGAAGGAGAUUUGAGCUUGCCUCUCAAAUGUUAUUUACAUGACUGUAUUUUUAACAGAAUAAUAGCCAUAAUAAUAUGCAUUCUACAUAAAACAAAUAGCAGAAAGGUAGGAAAGAGCAACAAGUGAUGAAGCUAAUAAUUCAUAUGAAAGAGGCAAAAUGGAAGAAUGGAAAUGAACAUCUACUAGUAGCAGCGCAGAAGUCACGGUUCUAUGAAUUACUUACAUGCUCUAAUGACAAAAGGCAAAAACAUAAAGCUUAGCAGUCAAUAGUGCGAAAGAAAUAAAAAAUAAACUGACAUAACUAAAAGUACUCGUGCCAAAUGACCUAUGCAGAAAUUACCUAUCCCAAUUUGGGAAUCUUCCUACUAGAUAAAGUCCUGCACAAUCCCAAGGUUCUGCAAUUAUUUUACAUCUUGAUAAUACAGCAUCCUUGGCAAUUGCCUGUCAGUCAAGUCACAUAAAUCAGAUAAAAGGGUUUCCACUACUGUUUCUUAUCAGCUAGCAAGCUAUGAGAAAUUGCACAAUUGAUUUAUUCAAGACCCUAAAUUUAAAGAAGCGGAAACAACCAAGAUUCGUAGUCUCGGUAUCGGACCCCGUACCGGUGCUAUACUAGCACUAUGUCGAUACAGUAUGGUAUGGGAUCUUUUCACUCAGUAUCCUACCCAUACCGGAUACCGGUACUGAACAAGUAUGGUAUGGUACACUCUGUACUAUCCGGUUUGGGCCGGUACGGUGAACCAUAGAAACAAUUGCUAAUUUAUUGAUUAUAAGCAAAAUAAGAAAUGAACUUUUAGAAUUUAAGUUAGAUUAUAAUAUUUAAAUCAAACAUCCAGGAAAAGCACAAAACAUCAGCACGCACGCCAUUUCCCGCACCUGAUAAAGAAUUAUUUCUGUCCAAUGCUCAAAAUUAGUAGGAUAUGGCAGGCAAUCCCACUAAAGAAUCUCCAGGUCCAGGCUGCUUUCAAUAUGGCUUCAUAAUAAUUUCGCUCCCCUCAUAACCAUCAUAUUUCCAUAGUUUAUACUGCCUCUUUAUACUCAUGAAAUAGUUUUGUCAAAAUUGUAUCAUCAACUAUAUACUACCUUUCUCAAGUCCCUGUAUACCUGUAUACCAUAACAACCGGAGGAGUAGGAAUUUAAAAAUUACUAACAUAUACAUGUUUUACCAUAUAACUUUAAUCUUUUGAUCUUUUAAAGCAAGUUAAAUUUAGCUAGUUGUUGUUUCUUUCCCUUAGUUUUCUUUAUUUUUCUUCAUGUAUGAUUUCUAACAUCCUUUCCUCUAAGAUUAUAAAUGCCAAUUACUUAGGAUAGUGACACUUCUACAAGCAUCCAAUAGACCAGUACAUACAGCCAUUCUUUUUACACUAUGAGCUUUCCUUUUCACAUUCACACUCAUGCAACAUCUCCACUUCUGGAAGGAUCUAUUUAGGAACAUGUCACAUACAGACACAUGUACAUAGAGAUAUACAUACAUAUUCAUACACAUAUAUACAUGCAUGUGUAUGUAUGUGUGUAUGUAGACUUGGAGGUGGACCACAAACCAUGGUCCUUAAUCAUAUAUUAAGAGAGCUAAGAGAGAAUUUAUAGAUGUUAAUUAUGGUUGACAAUGAGGCCUUGGAUACAACAUAUGGGGAAGAAUGACUAGAAAAGACAGGAAAACAUAUAAGUGCAGGCACAGAGAUGUUAAAACACACCAUAAUGUUCAUAAUUUUCAUAGUCUACUAAUAAAGUAAUAGAAUUAAUGUACUUUUAAUCAAAUGGGAUGCUAGAACAGGGAGAAAUUAUAAUAACCAGUCAUCAAUUUUAGAAAGUCAUUUGUCAAUAUCCUUGCAAAGUUACAAUGAAGAUAAUUGAUAAAUAUGGGAGCAACCUAGUGAAUAAGAAUAAAGAAGAUUCUCUCUUCCAGAAGAAGAGUAACAUCUGUCUUGUAGAACCAUCAAAACACAGCACUAAGGAGAAAUCAGAAACAACAAAAAGUUACCUUAACAAGUGGAGGUGCAUUUAGAGGAGUCCCAUCAGUUCCUCGGCAAAGAACACUUGCAAGGUCAAAGCGGAAUCCAUCCACAUGGUAUUCUUUAACCCUUAGCAUGGCACAAGAUAUAGACACAAUCAAUAUAGAUAAAAAGAAAAAAAAAUGCAUUUAGUAUAUACUUCAUCGUACAGUUCAUUAUGAAAAUAUGACUGCAGAAAUAUAGUUUUUGACUGACUUCUAAUUAACAGCAGCAAGCAUAAUACUGUAAAGCAUGGUGAUAUUUGGGAGUUCCAGAAUAUUUGGUUCAGAGUUCGGAUGCACAAGUAAAUCAAACAUUCAUAACAGCCUGAUUUUUCCGCUAGCGCUUCGCCUCAAUAAGUAAAUAUAUAUGCUCUCAUACAGCCACACCAGCUGACAAAUAUGCCAUAUGAGCAAAGGGCAAAGUUUUGAAAAGACAUAUUUGAAGCAAGGAAAUAAAUCUUGAGGAGUGGUAAUGUAUCAGCAGGCAGCUGGUAUGGUAUGAUCCUCAACAAAGGGGCAGUACACAUUGACACAACUCGGUAGAGCUUAAACAAUCAAGAAAAAAAUUACCCAGCGAUAUGGGGUCAUUACAAGGUCAAUAUGCCUGAAUUCACAUGAUACAAUGUGAUAUAGGCCAGGUUCAGCCAACACUAGUGCAUAGCAUAGCAGCCCCUAGCCCCCUACCAUUGUCUCAUGGCAGCUAUGGUAUGUACUGGCUGCGGCGUCCCGGUGGCCGGCCGGACCGGUACGGUNNNNNNNNNNNNNNNNNNNNNNNNNNNNNNNNNNNNNNNNNNNNNNNNNNNNNNNNNNNNNNNNNNNNNNNNNNNNNNNNNNNNNNNNNNNNNNNNNNNNNNNNNNNNNNNNNNNNNNNNNNNNNNNNNNNNNNNNNNNNNNNNNNNNNNNNNNNNNNNNNNNNNNNNNNNNNNNNNNNNNNNNNNNNNNNNNNNNNNNNNNNNNNNNNNNNNNNNNNNNNNNNNNNNNNNNNNNNNNNNNNNNNNNNNNNNNNNNNNNNNNNNNNNNNNNNNNNNNNNNNNNNNNNNNNNNNNNNNNNNNNNNNNNNNNNNNNNNNNNNNNNNNNNNNNNNNNNGUACGGGCCGGUACGGCAUUCCUUGGUUUAUACUUUAUACCUUGUAAUACAAUUACUAAGAAUGAAGGUCAGGUACUCACAUAACAUUUUACAAUUCUUAAGAAAUUGGGAUCAUGGAGAGCUGGGAGCAAGAUGAAAGCAUUAUCCCCGAUCUUUUUUUUUUUCUCCUUGUAUACCAUAACUAACUUUACACGCACAAAAAUGAAGUGAAUUUCUAGCAUCGUUAAUGCUACAAAAAGGAAGAAGAAACAGUAUACUGGGCACUCAGGAAAGACUUUAUCAUAUGCACUAGUAUCAAAUAGUGGUAUCUGACAAAAUCUGUCAAAUCCUUAGAUUAGUCCAACUAGGGCCUAUGUUUUGUAUAUGCUUUGCUUCCACAUUUUUUGGUAGAUUUAAAUUGGCAAGAAUGCCAAGUACAUGGAGUGAUGAUUUUUUGAAUUUUAUCAUAAUAAAAUAUAAGAUCAACUACUUCCAUAAAGCUAAGUGGCACGUAAUUGAAGCAUGUGUGGAAAGCACAUUCAAGUGCAGGAGCAACGAUCAAGAGCUCAUGAGAAAUUUAGGAUGCAGAAAUCCGAGUUAAAAAAGAAUCCUUAAUUUAAUGAAUACACUAAAUAAAUUAAUGCAUAGUUUUAUUUCCAAAGAAUGAGGUUACGGAUAGGAUUUAAAUAUUUGUACCUAAAUGGCCUUUUUUAACUUACAGGCCUGAGACUAACUGUGCUUCACUAACUCAUGCUAGUCCAUUUUUCAAUGUUUUCAGCCAAAACUUGAUAACACAACUACAAUCCCUUAGUUCAAAGCACCUUGAAGCAUCUUUCUUCAACUAUAUAUGUAUGUUUUAAAAGCAAGGUCAGUUGUGCUGAACCAUACUGACCAAUACCAACUGUACUAUACCAUAUUGAUAAGGUGCCAAUAUGGUACCGAGCAAGGUUUGCCAUCUCAAUACCGAAUCUCGUACCGGUGCCAUCGUGUUAUAGGGUCGGUACAUCCGGUUCGGCAUACCAAGUAUCGGUGCGCCCUCCAUACCAUGUAUCGAUACAGUCCGUUCGCACUGGUACCGACCAGUAUGGCAAACCUUCGUCCUGAGGUUUGGUUCGGUAUAUGAGUCCAAUAGCUCCAAACAAAGCAAAACUGCCUCGUACUAUCUAAAACCAACCAAAAUAGGGGUGCAUACCAUACCAUACCAACCUAUAUUGCCUGGUUUCAAGCAGUACAAAUGUACAAUGAUAAAAAGUGAGAACAAAAUUCAGAAGCUGUCUAAAGAAUUCCAUUCAUUCAUUCAAACAAAUCAUCUACAGCGCCUUUUCAUUCAACCUUAAUAAACCCUUUUGUAGAAUUUACAUGACUAGUUUUCCAAGUAAACUAGGAUUCUUGAUAGGCAAAUAACAAAUCCCCAAAAUAUUUUCUAAGAAAAUUCGGAAGAGCAUAUAAGCAUACAUGGAAGGAUGCCCAAAACAACCAAAAAAGCAAAUCCUAAUGAUUUUAUAACUGGUCCAACCAACAUAUAACUAAUAUAAGACUCUUUUAUACCAAUCUUACUUAAAAUGGAACUUUAAAACAAAUCCUAAAAUUACCAACAUAAAAGUUCCGAAAAUACAAAAAAAAUGACCACUCAUGGUCUGCCGUACCGGUCCGUACCGGCCGGUACGGACCCGUACGUACCGGUCCGGCCUGGGACCGGUACCGGAUCAGCGUGGAAUCCGGUACCGGUGGUUUAUUGUUGGAGAACCGGUACGUGACCGGUACGUGACCGGUACGGGACCGGUUCGGACCAGUACGGGACCGGUUCGUACCGGUAUGGAACUGAUUCGUACUGGUCCGGGCCGCCACCGGUACGCCUAUCGGUACCGGUGCGGCGGAUCUUGCCUACACUUCUUUUGUUCAUCAUCAUAAUGAAAAGGAUAACAAUAAUCAAAUUUUACAAAUUAGUUAUCAUUUUGACAUAUACUAUAUUUUUAGGACUUUAGACUUAUUGUUCCAAUAGUUUCAUAUUUAAACAAUCGAACAAAUAAUGUUUUGAAGUUUGAACAUGAGAAUUCCAAAAGUCAUGCUCAAAAUGUACCUAUAUUAUCGUCAAUAUAAAAUAUGAUAUUAUAAAUGUAAAUAAAAUUUAAGCUUUAGGCAAAACAAAAUCUUUGUCAGAAAAAAUAACUUUUCCUAUGAAUCUCAACAAAGUUUUAUGUCACAGUGCUUCCAAAUGUGUUAAAACUCACAAUUUCACAAACUUCAGCAACUGUUAAAGAAUGAAGAAACUCAUAAAUGAAAAUAAACAACAUGCAUUCACUAAAUUCUCGAUCAGAUUGCACGCUGAAUCUGAAACUUUUGUUUUCAAUUAGAGUUCUAGAAAAAACUGACAACUAUGGUCAAAUCUAAUAUCUUGAUGACAAAAUAUUCAGUUCAACAACAGACUAAGAUUCUCCAUUGCUAAAAUUCUAAAGUUUGGUGAUCUAUAAUUGGCAUUAGAUCAAGUGGAUGGCUGAAACAAUUUCAUCAAGAUUUAAGCAUUAACAACAUAGAAUCAAUUUGAAGCAAAGCUAACAGGCAAAUAUUACUGAAAGAAGAAAACUGCACCACUGAAAUCAGUAAAGGUUGUAGAGACGAUGUAAGCGCAAAACAAGAUAGAACAGCUGAAUUACAAUUUUUUUUAAUAUUACAUACCAAAAACUGAACAAUAAUGAGAGUAAUUGAUAGAAUGAAGCAAAACAGAGCAUCUUCAAAUGUCUAAGGUUUGCGCAACUUAUACUGAAUUGAACAGAAAAACAAAACAAUUAACAAACAACUUAACUAAUCACCAAAAAAAAAAAAACCCGCUAACAGUAUUUCUGUAAACCAAAUGCCAGUCCUUUGAUAAAACAAAAAGAAAAAUAUAUGCACAAAAUUCAUUUUGCAAAUACAAAUAAAUAAAUAUUAAGAAAGAGUGUGAAAUUUGAUUUACAAUUUGAUCCACCGGGUAAUGUUCCAGUAUCAACAGUUUGCAGUGCACUCAAUUUAACUCAAUGGUAAAUAGAGACUGAAGAUGCUUUUGACCAAACAAAAUGAACAUAUUGCGUUUCCAGCUGAUACAGAAAAGAUGAAAAGUGAAAACACAAUUUAAAUAAACACUAGACAGUACCAAUGUCUCAAACUGUCCAGUAUAAGUUCCAUGACAACAGGAUGGUUGCAGUUAAAUGUGUUUCCUGGAGACCACAAAAUAUAAAAUCACAAUGAUGAACUUAUCAAAUAACAAAAAGUUGUUCGAUACAGGACAGACUACAGAGAAUCCCCAAUACAAAAAUAGAGUAUACAACAGUGCUUGCUGUGAACUCAUUUUAUGUAUGGAAAAUUAAAGACCAAGGAUAGUCUAGCAUCACAUACCAUAUUUACCUCAUACAGUUUCAUAAAAGCAAUAUACGAAAAACAAAUUUACUAUUUAACAUAGUAAUAAAUAGUAAAGUGGCACUACAGCAAAUUUAAUCAUCACUCAAGUGAAGAAACUUGAGAGCUAGAAAAGAAAAAUCUCUUAUGUGGAUGGCCGGGCUUGUUAUUUCCACACAAUCAUGGCCAUUUUAACUCUAUUUCUACACAAUUAUAUCAACUGAAUUGUUAGCAUGUCCUAUUGCAUUAAUGUCCAAAAAUGGAUGCAAGGGGACCUAACCUAGAAAGUAGAAACCUGUCUAAAUUUCACCAUCCAGUGAUUUCAGCUGAGAAAAUGAUGCAAAAUAACAACAUAGAUAUAUACUAUUGCAAGAGCCAAAGUAGAGUUUUAAGGUCUUCUAAUGGUCUGUCCAGCCAGCAGUAUUUUUGUCAAAUUGGUGCCAUGCUUGAAGUAAUUAAGUCCCUGUAACAAAGAUGAGUUGCUAGUGCCAUUUUCAUUCUCUUUAGAUAAUUGUCAUUAGUUUUAAGAUAGUAUAUCAGUUUUAGAGUGCAAAACUAUUAAUAACAAUGAGUAUAUUAUAUGAAAAAUAACAACAAGAGCAUAUUAGAUGAAAACAUGUAUGGAAAACUAGAAAAUAGCAAAUUUAUAUAGGUAUGGAUGAGUGAAUGACAGAAGCAAGGUACGCGGUACCGACUGUACCGAUGUACCAGUGGGCAUCGGUACCGGUACGGUACUGAACCAAACCGAACCGAACCGGUACUGUACCAAUGGGGCUAAAAGCCAAAAAAAUUUUAGAGCCGAUACGGACUGGUCGGUUCGAUUCGGUACGGGCCGAUCGGUACGGUUCGGUACCGAAAUAUGUAGUUGUACCGUACCGGUAGGGUCCGGUACCGACCCGUACCGACCGGUAUGGCAGACUAUGGACGGAAGAUUGGGAUUAAAUUGGUGAUGAUAACCCGAUCACCAAGUUUCAACUGUCAUAUUAUGAAAUUUGAGAAUCAACUGCUAUUCUGAAAUUUGCGAAUCAAGUGUUUUAAAAUAAAAGCAAUGAUCCAGCUGUAGGUGUUUUUCAUUAAUACCUCCACUCUUAUAACACACUUUCAGAUAUGGUGCUGCAGCAUACGCAAGUGAUUCCAUGUGCUGAGCAUUUCUACACAAUCGGCUCAUCUAGAAAAAGGAACUGUUAUUUUUUCUGAAUUAUGAUCCCUCCAGCAACCAAGUACUUACAAAUAAAGCCAUCACACUUUUCCUUCAGUCAAUGAAUGCAUAUGUUGCCAGCUAGUACUUCAAGUAGAUCAUACCAUUAAGUGAAACAUACACAGACAAAUCAGUUGAUAUAUAGCAUAUGUGCAUGUAAAAUUAAAUUUUCCUACAAGAGGCAAAACAUCUUGCCUACUAGUUAAAGCUAUGAUCGAUAUAUUUGAUUUAAAAGGAUUAAGCUUGAAUGGUCUACGGAGCAAUCUAGAAGGGUUGUAAUAAGACAUUCUGGAAAAGCCUGUUGUGUGCCUUCGCCCAGAAGGGUCUUUCCACUUUGAAGCCAUAUCAAGCAUAAAUUUUAAGAUUGUUAUGCUAUUUAAUAAAAAAAUUUCCCCCUCUCUUCGUAUCACUAUUAUCAUUGUUAGCUAGACUAUACAGAGAGCAAGCUGAUAUCAUCUAAUAAAAUUAUAUACAUUUAUAACAUUACAAACAGCAGGUUUUGAAGUAAUUCUGGAAAAGUUAUAUCUUAAAAAAAUGAAAUAAGUAUUCUUGGAAAAAGAGUAAUUAAAAACUGAUGGACAAUUUACCACAGCCUGAGAAAUUGAGUAGUUCAGCAUUGUUUUGGAGAUCCAUCAUGUAAUAAACCUAAAAGCACAAAGAAAAGAAAACCUAAUUCAACAAAAUAACAUAGAUAACAUAUGUACUGGCAUAUACUUAUGUAUUGCAUAUAGAUGUUCCACAAACAUUUGCGUUCCUGCAUACAUGUUAUACAUGCACCUCAAAGUCAUAUUGUAUGUACCAACCUACUAAAUUUAUGUGUAUGGUUCAUGUUUACUAUUGAGGUACUUAAUAAGAAAAGUGGAGAACACAGCCAGUUAUAUAGUCUGUUCAUCCCAAGGAAUGCGCAACCAUCCGGUUCGGGACGGUUCCACCCGUUCCGAACCAUACCGGUGGCCUACCGGUAUGGUUCGGGCUUUGAAACCGGUUCGGGACCGGAGCCGGAGAUGACAGAGAAAGAGAGAGCGAGCGGGGGAGGGAGGGAGGAAGGAGCGCCGCAGGGAGGCGGUGGAGGCUGCGGAAAAAAAUUUGAAAAUUUUUAAGUGAGUCGGCGAAUCAUUUGCUGACUUCACUUAAGAAUUUUGAAAUUAAAAAAAUUGAAAAUUUUUCAGUGAAGUCGACAAAUGAUUUGCCGACUUCACUUAGAAAUUUUCAAAUUUUUUCCGUGGCCUCCAUCGCGCCCCUACGGCCUCCGCCGGCUCCCCACAAUGCUCCUUCUCCCUCCCUCCCCCGCUCACUCUCUCUUUCUGUGAGACCCUGAAACUGGGCCCGGUCCAUUGACCGGCCCAGCCCCAAAGAUUUCGGCCUCACGUGCGUCGCACGUGAGGGCGCAUGAGGAGGGGGGAGCCAUCCCGAAGAAGCCAGNNNNNNNNNNNNNNNNNNNNNNNNNNNNNNNNNNNNNNNNNNNNNNNNNNNNNNNNNNNNNNNNNNNNNNNNNNNNNNNNNNNNNNNNNNNNNNNNNNNNNNNNNNNNNNNNNNNNNNNNNNNNNNNNNNNNNNNNNNNNNNNNNNNNNNNNNNNNNNNNNNNNNNNNNNNNNNNNNNNNNNNNNNNNNNNNNNNNNNNNNNNNNNNNNNNNNNNNNNNNNNNNNNNNNNNNNNNNNNNNNNNNNNNNNNNNNNNNNNNNNNNNNNNNNNNNNNNNNNNNNNNNNNNNNNNNNNNNNNNNNNNNNNNNNNNNNNNNNNNNNNNNNNNNNNNNNNNNNNNNNNNNNNNNNNNNNNNNNNNNNNNNNNNNNNNNNNNNNNNNNNNNNNNNNNNNNNNNNNNNNNNNNNNNNNNNNNNNNNNNNNAAUGUCUCAAACUGUCCAGUAUAAGUUCCAUGACAACAGGAUGGUUGCAGUUAAAUGUGUUUCCACAGCCUGAGAAAUUGAGUAGUUCAGCAUUGUUUUGGAGAUCCAUCAUGUAAUAACUCGCCGACCUCCCUUCGUGGGAGAAGAAAGAAGAAGAAAGAAAGAGGGGGGAGGAGAAGAAGUCGGGAGAAGAGAAGGAAGAAGAAAGAAAAGGGGGGAAAGAAAAGAAGUCAGGAGAAGGUUCUGGAGAAAAGAGAAGAAAAGAAAAGAAAAAGAAAAGGAAAGGAAAGAAAAGAAAAGAGAAGAAAAAGAAAAGAAAAAGAAAAGAAAAGAAAAAGAAAAGAAAAGAAAAGAAAGAAAAAGAAAUAAAGAAAGAAAGAAAUAAUAAAUAAUAAUAAUAAUAAUAAAAUAAAGAGAGGAGGAUGGUUUACAAGUAUGAACCCGAAUCGGAACCCCAACUCAGGGUGCUAGACACUUCUGUAUGGUCGGCCCUGGAAGGAUGUUAAGAUUUAAGUUUUAUAUAUAUAUUAUGAUGAAUUUUAAAAGAAAAAUAUGAUUUUUGAAUAUUAGGUUCUGCGAGAAAUUUGUGAGAUUAAUUGGAUUUGUUGUGGAUCGCAUCAAUGUAAGUAAUGAACUGCCUUUUCUAGACUCUUCAUUUAUAUAAUAUUAUUUUUGCAUCGAAUAAAUUGUUAAUGAAUUUAUAUGUGAUUUAUGAAUUUUACGAGAUGAUGAUUUGAAUGAAAAAAUAGAUAUUUGAAUUGAAAUAAUAUUUUUUGGACUAUUGCUAUAUUUACUGUUCUUGCAUCGUAUAUGCAUAUUUAGAUCGUACUAUGAUAUAUCUAUUAUGUUAUAAAAAGAAUUUUGAUGUGCAUCAGAUUUGGAACUCUUAGCCUGACUAUGUUCUGGAUCCUGCCAAUUGGAGGUUAUGCAUUGGCAAUUCUGGCUCUACCACAGGGUAUAAGUAUGGUAUUCUGGCCCUACCACAGGGUAUAAGUGUAGUAUUCUGGCCUACUCCACAGGGUAUAAGUGCGGUAUUCUGGCCCACUCCACGAGGUAUAAGUACGGUUUCGUUUCUGGCCUAGCCAUAGGGUAUAAGUGUGGUCGUAGUUAAAGGCUAUUGAGUUGAAUGUGAUUUAUUUCGAAUCGGAUUUAUGAUUAUGUAUAUGGAUAUUUGAAAGAUACUGAUUUCAGUGGAUUUGUGUUUGAAAAAGAAUUGAUUAUGUCAUUAUGCUGAUUCAUCAUAAUUUGUAUUCAUAUUUUAUAUUAUUAUAUGAAUUGACUAUUUAAGGUAAUUAUUACUUACUGGGAUGCCUAGCUCAUUAUACGAUUUCUUACUAUUUUUACAGAUCCGAAGAAUUAGCUCGAUCUGGGUUUUACAUAAUGGGAGAAUGACUAGAAGAAUUGAGGCACAAGUUAUUUUAGAAUAGAAUUUAUUUAAAUUGAUGUUUUAUCUUAGACUAUUGUUAGACAUUGUAAGGUUUUGUUAUUUAAAGAACCAAGUUUUACAUGCUAGUAGUUUAUUGUUCCGUUGCGUAAACUAUUGCUAGGCUUGUGAGACAUUGUAAGUUGUGUUAGUUACAGAAAUAAAGUUUGCAUAGUUAAAAUAUUUCCGCUACCUGAUUUGAUAUUGUGAUGAGAUGCCUUGCAUGCUCGUGGGGAGAGUUCCCUACAGGUGUGCGGCGGUUGGCACAGACCCCCGGCUCGCGAUCUGGGACCGGGGGCGUGACACUUUCCCUUCGUCUUCUCCGGCUCUGGCUGGUGUUGUCUUGGUACGGGCCCGGUUUCGACCCGUUCCGAACCGGACCGGGCACCAACCGGUACGGCACCCAGUACCGAUUCAGAAAUCCUUGGUUCAUUCCAAGCCUUCUCACAUCUCUGCUCUCUUCUUUCCUCCUUGUCUUCUCUACGUUUUUUUUUUUUGCCACUUAAUACAUAAUAUGUACACAUAAUGACAUAUAUUAAUACUUAAUAUUACAUCUUCCUUUUCAAGUGUUGGACUGUUGCUUCACUCACAUAUCUACAGUUUCGUGAUUUUUUUACAUACUAGGUGCAUCAGGGAUCUUUGUUUUGUGUUUGAAUCUUCUUUAGCAUUUUCAAAAUUUUAUCUGCAUCUAGAUGCACUUGGAAUCUUUACUUUAGUAAUUCUGUCUUAUUGUAGUUCAUGUGAGAGUUCCUCAACUCACAAUUCAUCAUUUUCACCAACCUCCUACCUAAUUAUAACUGACCAUAUUUAUGUUCAUCGAAACCUCUGCUGCAAUUGUAAAACCCAUGGACUAGCUUUCACAUAAUGCUAAAUAAAUAUAUGCAAGAAAAUCAAUUUAGUGAAAAUCUGAAAAUCUAUUAAGAGAGAACAAAGUUAGGAUGGUGCACUGAUUUUUUCAGUGAACAAGGAAUGAUGAGUGGAUUACAUGUAAAUAAUUUCCAUUGUUAUUGAGAACAAGACCUUUGAAAUGCUAUAAAUAUAUGAAACCAUCACCUUGUUAUCAAUACCACGAAAAGAGGUAGUAUAAGGAUGAUCAUCAUCAGCUUCAUUAGUGUGGUUGUAAACUACAUCAAGAAUGACCUGAAGUUGCAGCAAUGGUUUUUAAUUUAAUUUCGAACAAAAUUAAACAGGAAAAAACCAAUCAUGGAUAAUACAUGUCAAAUUUGAAUAGGUAAUAACAUCUAUCAGACCUCAAUUCCAGCAUUAUGCAAAGAUUUCACCAUUUGUUUGAAUUCUUGGGCUGCAGCAGCAGGACCACCACCAGAACUAGCAUACCGACUCAUGGGGGCAAAAAAGUUCAUAGUAGAAUAGCCCCAUGUGUUGAUCUUGUAAUGGAAUAGAUAUUUAAAUCAGUAAACACAGAAAUACCCUCACAAAGAAAGCAAAAAAAUCUGGUAAAAGGAGGGGGGUUGGGAGAUGCUAAUUGUCAUUGCAUACAAAAAAAAGGACUGAAAAUUAAAUCAUACCAUAUGAUCUCUAGGAUUUGGAUAUCUCUGAAAUUCCAACUCAUCGAACUCAAAAACCGGCAAUAACUCCACAGCAUUGAUGCCAAGUUCCAAUAAAUGUGGGAUCUAUAGAGGAUAAUGUUGUCAGAUGAAAUUUCUCUAGCUUGACACUCAAGGUUCGCUGUAUCGGUACCAAACCCCGUAUCGGUGCCGCACUAGUAUAGGCGUACCGACUGUCGGUACAAUACGGUAUGCGGUACGUCAAGCAUACCGAUACCGGUACCCAUUGGUAUGGAUACGGUACGCCCGGUACCGACCAGUAUAGCAUACCAUGUUGCCACUACUAUAUAUAAUAAGAUAUAAAACUUAUGUUACAGCAACGUCGCAUGCGAAAAACAUAUACUAAAUAGGCCAAAAAACAAUAAAUGCAAUUCGAGCGGCUUCCCUUUAAGAAAUAUUUAUCGCAACAAAUUUUGGUGAAUGGUGAAACAACAAAUGUAACACCUUGAGAUCCUAACUUAUUUAAAUCCUAAGGGUGGGACAUCAAACCUGAUAAAAAUACCAUAAGUACUUGGCCUUCCCAAAAGACAUUUUUUUUAACUAAAUUCUUCUAAAAAUGUAAUAUAAUUGAUAAUUCUCAGCAAAAAUUACAUACGAAAGUCAAACUAAGACAUUGCAGAUGCCACUUCAACACUUCAAUGAUCAUUAAAUCCACUAGAGUUCUAACUAAUCUCUAUGAAAAAUUGUAUAAUAAAUAAAGUGAACUACAAAGCUCAGUAAGUAAAACUUCUACCAUGAUCAAAGAACGUGCUAGAAAGCUCAAGUGGAAAAAUCAUUGAGAACAAUUUGUUAUGAAAUCUCAAAAGCCAAGUUGUCAAUAAGAAAAAAAAUGUCAUAGAAGGGUAUCCUGCAAAUAUCAGGCAAUCCGAAAGCACCUUUAAAAUAGCAAAUCCACCUCUUCCAGUAGAUUAAUAGGGGUUGUCAUUAAUCGCUUUGAAAAUGGUACAAAAGAUAGGGUUAGCUACAAAGCUCGGCAAGUUCAGUUCUUCCAUGGUCAAAAGAAUUCAAGCAUCCAUUAGAAAAACAAAUGACUUAAAGACAAAAUACACAAUCAAAUUACCACUUAGAAAGCUCAAAUAGAAAUUCACUGAAAUCAUUUUGUAAUAAAAUCCCAAAAGCAUAAAUCUUUAACCAAGUUUCCAACAAGAUAUAUGAUGCUAAAAAUGGUUCGGAACGCAAGUAUCGAACAGUUGAAUUAAUUCCCAAUGUGAUAAGUUGAACACUAGUGCAAAAAUCAAAUGGUCAAAGCACAACUUGCAAAAAACCAAGGUCGGCUGUCUCAAACCGAACCAUUUGAGGCAAGCUGACCCAUGUCGGGUAGAAACCAGGUCAAGAUGCAGAUUUACUUCAGAACAGGCCUCAAAUCAGCCUGAACCAACUGGAACCUAGAAAAAGCCCAUGGUUCUGCUUGGUUCAGGGCAGUUCAAGGAGUUCGCUGCCAUUAUAACUCUCCCCUCCAGACCUAAGUCACCCUGGCUCCCAAUCACUCUUUCCCUCUCGUGUUCGGAUAGCAUUAGGGUUUUGAUGCCCCCCUCGGGCCACUGCCACCUCAGAUGAUGACCACAGGUACGUGCUUCACCCUCUCUCUCUCAAUCUCUCUCUUUCCCGAAGAUGAUGACCUCGCGGCUUCACCCUCUCUCUUGAAGACGAUGAUGGCCCAGCAACUUCGCCCUCUCUCUCUCUCUUUCUCCUCUCUCAUUCAGUCUCUCUCUCCCAAAGUCGAGGACCCCAGUGGGUUUGCCCCCUCUCUUUCUCCUCUCUCUCUCCUUCUCCCUCUCCCCCUCUCCCUCUCCCUACCCUUGGUUCCUGUGAGACCCUAAAACUGGGCCCGAUCCAUUGACCGGCCCAGCCCCAAUUUCGGCCUCCCGUGCGUCGCACGUGAGGGUGCGAGAUGAAGGGAGAAAUCAUCUCGAAGAAGCCGGGAUCGUCUGGUUUUUUUAAGGCUUCUCCUCCUCCCUUUGAGACCACUGGAAGAGGAGCCGCCAGACCUCCUUCCUUAGGUGUUCUUCUUCCUCGUGCAGCCAUCCGAGAGAGAGGAGGGAGCCGUUGAAGCCGGUCUCCUUUGAUCCGGGUGGUUCCAUUGCCGCCGGAGAGGAAAGAGCCGCCGGAGANNNNNNNNNNNNNNNNNNNNGGAAGGAAGAAUGUGAGACCCUGGAACUGGGCGCGGUCCAUUUGACCGGCCCAGCCCAAGCUUUUGGCCUCACGUGCGAUGCACGUGAGGGUGCGGGAUGAAGGGAGAUAUUCAUCCCGAAGAAGCCGGGAAUCCUGGUGAUUUCUAGGGCUUCUUCCUCCCUUUGAGACCACCGGAAGAGGAGCCGCCAGACCUCCUUCCUUGGGCGAUCUUCUUCCUUGUGCAGCCGCCCAAGAGGGAAGAGAGAGAGCCGAGAAGCCACGGCACAGGUCUUCCUCUUUCUCCUUUGCCACCGGAAAGAAGCCGUCGGAUCUUCGCCGGGGCUGAGGUAAGGUUCCUAGCUUCACCUCUUUGUUAUACCAAUUGAAAAGAAAGAAAGAAAGAAAGAAAGAAAGAAAGAAGAAAAGAGGGAAGAAGGAGAAGGCCGACCGUUGUGGCGCUUCUUCUUCUCCCAUCCGCAUGCCUCCUCUACGGGAAGAAGGAGAGGGCCGGCCAUCGCGGGCGCCGCCGGCCUCGACUUAGCCUCUUCCGAGCUCGCCGACCUCCCUUCGCAGGNNNNNNNNNNNNNNNNNNNNNNNNNNNNNNNNNNNNNNNNNNNNNNNNNNNNNNNNNNNNNNNNNNNNNNNNNNNNNNNNNNNNNNNNNNNNNNNNNNNNNNNNNNNNNNNNNNNNNNNNNNNNNNNNNNNNNNNNNNNNNNNNNNNNNNNGAUUUAAGUUUUAUAUAUAUAUAUAUAUAUUGUGAUGAAUUUUAAAAAGAAAAUAUGAUUUUUGAUAUUAGGUUCUGCGAGAAAUUUGUGAGAUUAAUUGAAUUUGUUGUGGAUCGCGUUCGAUAUAAGUAAUGAACUGCCU
This 24148-nucleotide long non-coding RNA is filed under the name Phoenix dactylifera (date palm). RNAcentral's name for it is "long non-coding RNA (PDAC_LNC002047)". The record is from RNAcentral. Lineage: Eukaryota; Viridiplantae; Streptophyta; Magnoliopsida; Arecales; Arecaceae.